GGGGUUGUGGCUCAAGAGGUAGAGUGCUUGCCUAGCAUGCAUGAGGCCCUGGGUUCAAUCCUCAGCACCACA
RNAcentral lists this transfer RNA (72 nucleotides) under Marmota monax (woodchuck). RNAcentral describes it as "tRNA.Ala". It matches the Rfam family "tRNA". Rfam says of the family: Transfer RNA (tRNA) molecules are approximately 80 nucleotides in length. Their secondary structure includes four short double-helical elements and three loops (D, anti-codon, and T loops). Further hydrogen bonds mediate the characteristic L-shaped molecular structure. tRNAs have two regions of fundamental functional importance: the anti-codon, which is responsible for specific mRNA codon recognition, and the 3' end, to which the tRNAs corresponding amino acid is attached (by aminoacyl-tRNA synthetases). tRNAs cope with the degeneracy of the genetic code in two manners: having more than one tRNA (with a specific anti-codon) for a particular amino acid; and 'wobble' base-pairing, i.e. permitting non-standard base-pairing at the 3rd anti-codon position. The record is from RNAcentral. Lineage: Eukaryota; Metazoa; Chordata; Mammalia; Rodentia; Sciuridae.